This 465-nucleotide ribosomal RNA is filed under the name Vreelandella stevensii. RNAcentral's name for it is "partial 16S ribosomal RNA". It matches the Rfam family "Bacterial small subunit ribosomal RNA", at positions 338 to 795 of the family's 1533-position model. Lineage: Bacteria; Pseudomonadati; Pseudomonadota; Gammaproteobacteria; Oceanospirillales; Halomonadaceae. The record is from RNAcentral.
CCUACGGGGGGCUGCAGUGGGGAAUAUUGGACAAUGGGGGCAACCCUGAUCCAGCCAUGCCGCGUGUGUGAAGAAGGCCCUCGGGUUGUAAAGCACUUUCAGUGAGGAAGAACGCCUGGUGGUUAAUACCCAUCAGGAAAGACAUCACUCACAGAAGAAGCACCGGCUAACUCCGUGCCAGCAGCCGCAGUAAUACGGAGGGUGCGAGCGUUAAUCGGAAUUACUGGGCGUAAAGCGCGCGUAGGUGGCUUGAUAAGCCGGUUGUGAAAGCCCCGGGCUCAACCUGGGAACGGCAUCCGGAACUGUCAAGCUAGAGUGCAGGAGAGGAAGGUAGAAUUCCCGGUGUAGCGGUGAAAUGCGUAGAGAUCGGGAGGAAUACCAGUGGCGAAGGCGGCCUUCUGGACUGACACUGACACUGAGGUGCGAAAGCGUGGGUAGCAAACAGGAUUAGAUACCCUUGUAGUC